UUUUUUUUUUUUUUUUUAAAUUAAAAUGCCCAUCUUUUGCUAGGAUUAAUAUGUUGGACGAACAAAACCCCCCUUCUCCUUCGACGUUGCUGAACCACGAACAGAAAACAAAAAAAAAUCGCUGAAGGCCUGAAGCUUCCCGUCGUCCGAGCCGUCGCUACCCCUAGCAGCCCGUCGCCGUUGUCGACCCUCGUUUUCUUCCCCGGCGCAUUGCUCUCCUCUCUCUUGGCCUCUUUGCUCGAUUCAUUCUUCCCCACAGAUGAUGGUAGAGAGGAUGAUAAAAGCUUUCAAGAAUGCAUUUGAUGAAAACAUGGUUGUAUAAAGCUUGCAUUAGCCCGUUAACCUGAGACGGAAGAUAAAAACGAGAAACCUCAGGCUUAUGGAAAUCCAUCUGAGGAAUGUAAAUAUGAUUUGGAAACUUUAUAAGUGAUGAAGAAAAACCAAGUGUGCAUGCCUCUAGUUUGGACUUUGAGGAAGAAAUAACAUAAAUCCAAGAUUUUUGCCAUUGAAAUCCAUGAUGGAGGAGACAACCUAUGAUUUCAAGUCCUAAAUUUUGACAGUUGAAUAUAAUACCAAGAAGAAAGGAUUGAAUUCCAAACUGCCCCAUCUUUGUAAGCAUGUUGAUAGGUUGCGCGCACAAGUUUCUACAAUGGAACAACAGCAACAACAAAUGCAAGCACAAAUGGAAAUGGUUAUGUGGAUGAUAAAUAUGUCUGGAAAUCAAUCUCAUGCUCCCCCCAAUAAUCCUGAGGACAAUUGAAUUUGUAAACAUCUGGUAGUGUUUGUUUUGUUCAUUAGUGCUUACUUUUGUCAAACUUAGUAUUAGUCAUAAGACAAUCAAAUGGAAUGUGUCAAAACUUAGUAUUAGGGACGAAUGUGAAUUGAAUGUGGUAUUUGACAAAAAAUUGAAUGAAUUAUUACUUAUUUUUUUUA
Long non-coding RNA from Lactuca sativa (garden lettuce), 933 nucleotides. RefSeq lists it as uncharacterized. The record is from RefSeq and is a predicted model, not a curated record. NCBI's taxonomy places the organism in Eukaryota, Viridiplantae, Streptophyta, Magnoliopsida, Asterales, Asteraceae.